GAAAGUGACGAAGCAUUUUGUUCAUCGAAAAAAAAUACCAGUACCAUCGAUUCGAAGGGGUUAAAUUUAUUAGUUCGUUCGAAUAUAACAUAACCUGCUGUGAAUACCAUACCAUAAACAAACUGUUCGAAUAUUGAAACAUUCGAAAAAUUGUAUCAAAAAUAAAAUGAAAUGAAAUGAUCACCAUCAUCAUCAUUCAAGAUAUCAAAUUGUAAAAUAUCAUUAGCUACCGAAGGUGACAAUUUACCAUCAUUAUCAUUUUAACCUGUUGAGAUUAAUCUCAAUCUAAUAGUCAACCUAUUGUUUUUUUGUCAUUUGGAAAAUGUAAAUGGAAAAUCCGUUUUUAUUUAUUCGAUCCAGAUAUUUUUUUUCUGUUGCUAUCGACAAGGUUGUCUCCUGUCUAGACUUUUGGUUCGAUUAAUCAGUUUUUUUUUGGUCAUUAUCAUCAUUAUGGUUGG
Dermatophagoides farinae (American house dust mite) is the source of this 458-nucleotide non-coding RNA. The record is from RefSeq and is a predicted model, not a curated record. Lineage: Eukaryota; Metazoa; Arthropoda; Arachnida; Sarcoptiformes; Pyroglyphidae.